UACGGAGGGAGCUGGCGUUGUUCGGAAUUACUGGGCGUAAAGCGCGCGUAGGCGGCUUUGUAAGUUAGAGGUGAAAGCCCGGGGCUCAACUCCGGAACUGCCUUUAAGACUGCAUCGCUUGAAUCCGGGAGAGGUGAGUGGAAUUCCGAGUGUAGAGGUGAAAUUCGUAGAUAUUCGGAAGAACACCAGUGGCGAAGGCGGCUCACUGGACCGGUAUUGACGCUGAGGUGCGAAAGCGUGGGGAGCAAACAGG
RNAcentral lists this ribosomal RNA (253 nucleotides) under uncultured bacterium. Its description in RNAcentral is "partial 16S ribosomal RNA". It matches the Rfam family "Bacterial small subunit ribosomal RNA", at positions 524 to 776 of the family's 1533-position model. The record is from RNAcentral.